CCAGAUGACGAGUCCCAAAUAGGACGAAAUGAGCAUCCUGG
Molecule: non-coding RNA, 41 nt
Filed under: Trichobilharzia regenti
Lineage: Eukaryota; Metazoa; Platyhelminthes; Trematoda; Strigeidida; Schistosomatidae
Source: RNAcentral